UACGGGGGGUGCGAGCGUUGUCCGGAAUCACUGGGCGUAAAGGGCGCGUAGGUGGCCUGCUAAGCGUGCGGUGAAAGUCGGGGGCUCAACCCCCGAUCGGCCGUGCGAACUGGGAGGCUUGAGCACUGUAGAGGCAGGCGGAAUUCCGGGUGUAGCGGUGGAAUGCGUAGAGAUCCGGAAGAACACCGGUGGCGAAGGCGGCCUGCUGGGCAGUUUUGCUGACACUGAGGCGCGACAGCGUGGGGAGCAAACAGG
This 255-nucleotide ribosomal RNA is filed under the name uncultured bacterium. Its description in RNAcentral is "partial 16S ribosomal RNA". It matches the Rfam family "Bacterial small subunit ribosomal RNA", at positions 524 to 776 of the family's 1533-position model. The record is from RNAcentral.